UCGAACGCGAAAGUCCCCGCAGGGAUUAGUAGAGUGGCAAACGGGUGAGUAACACGUGGGUGACCUGCCUCCGAGUGGGGGAUAACGUCCCGAAAGGGACGCUAAUACCGCAUAACAUCCCGCCUUUUAACAGGUGGAGAUCAAAGCUGGNGAUCGCAAGACCUAGCGCUUGAAGAGGGGCCCGCGCCUGAUUAGCUAGUUGGUGGGGUAAUGGCUCACCAAGGCAACGAUCAGUAUCCGGCCUGAGAGGGCGGACGGACACACUGGGACUGAGACACGGCCCAGACUCCUACGGGAGGCAGCAGUGGGGAAUUGUUCGCAAUGGGCGCAAGCCUGACGACGCAACGCCGCGUGGAGGAUGAAGACCUUCGGGUCGUAAACUCCUUUCGAUCGAGACGAAUGGCCUCCGGGUGAACAAUCCGGAGGAGUGACGGUACCGAGAGAAGAAGCCCCGGCUAACCCCGUGCCAGCAGCCGCGGUAAUACGGGGGGGGCAAGCGUUGUUCGGAAUUACUGGGCGUAAAGGGCUCGUAGGCGGCCAACUAAGUCAGACGUGAAAUCCCUCGGCUUAACCGGGGAACUGCGUCUGAUACUGGAUGGCUUGAAUCCGGGAGAGGGAUGCGGAAUUCCAGGUGUAGCGGUGAAAUGCGUAGAUAUCUGGAGGAACACCGGUGGCGAAAGCGGCAUCCUGGACCGGCAUUGACGCUGAGG
Molecule: ribosomal RNA, 710 nt
Filed under: uncultured bacterium
Lineage: Bacteria
Description: bacterial SSU rRNA
Rfam family: Bacterial small subunit ribosomal RNA
Source: RNAcentral